GGAGCUUGCUCCACCGGAAAAAGAAGAGUGGCGAACGGGUGAGUAACACGUGGGUAACCUGCCCAUCAGAAGGGGAUAACACUUGGAAACAGGUGCUAAUACCGUAUAACAAUCGAAACCGCAUGGUUUUGAUUUGAAAGGCGCUUUCGGGUGUCGCUGAUGGAUGGACCCGCGGUGCAUUAGCUAGUUGGUGAGGUAACGGCUCACCAAGGCCACGAUGCAUAGCCGACCUGAGAGGGUGAUCGGCCACAUUGGGACUGAGACACGGCCCAAACUCCUACGGGAGGCAGCAGUAGGGAAUCUUCGGCAAUGGACGAAAGUCUGACCGAGCAACGCCGCGUGAGUGAAGAAGGUUUUCGGAUCGUAAAACUCUGUUGUUAGAGAAGAACAAGGAUGAGAGUAACUGUUCAUCCCUUGACGGUAUCUAACCAGAAAGCCACGGCUAACUACGUGCCAGCAGCCGCGGUAAUACGUAGGUGGCAAGCGUUGUCCGGAUUUAUUGGGCGUAAAGCGAGCGCAGGCGGUUUCUUAAGUCUGAUGUGAAAGCCCCCGGCUCAACCGGGGAGGGUCAUUGGAAACUGGGAGACUUGAGUGCAGAAGAGGAGAGUGGAAUUCCAUGUGUAGCGGUGAAAUGCGUAGAUAUAUGGAGGAACACCAGUGGCGAAGGCGGCUCUCUGGUCUGUAACUGACGCUGAGGCUCGAAAGCGUGGGGAGCAAACAGGAUUAGAUACCCUGGUAGUCCACGCCGUAAACGAUGAGUGCUAAGUGUUGGAGGGUUUCCGCCCUUCAGUGCUGCAGCUAACGCAUUAAGCACUCCGCCUGGGGAGUACGACCGCAAGGUUGAAACUCAAAGGAAUUGACGGGGGCCCGCACAAGCGGUGGAGCAUGUGGUUUAAUUCGAAGCAACGCGAAGAACCUUACCAGGUCUUGACAUCCUUUGACCACUCUAGAGAUAGAGCUUCCCCUUCGGGGGCAAAGUGACAGGUGGUGCAUGGUUGUCGUCAGCUCGUGUCGUGAGAUGUUGGGUUAAGUCCCGCAACGAGCGCAACCCUUAUUGUUAGUUGCCAUCAUUCAGUUGGGCACUCUAGCAAGACUGCCGGUGACAAACCGGAGGAAGGUGGGGAUGACGUCAAAUCAUCAUGCCCCUUAUGACCUGGGCUACACACGUGCUACAAUGGGAAGUACAACGAGUCGCGAAGUCGCGAGGCUAAGCUAAUCUCUUAAAGCUUCUCUCAGUUCGGAUUGCAGGCUGCAACUCGCCUGCAUGAAGCCGGAAUCGCUAGUAAUCGCGGAUCAGCACGCCGCGGUGAAUACGUUCCCGGGCCUUGUACACACCGCCCGUCACACCACGAGAGUUUGUAACACCCGAAGUCGGUGAGGUAACCUUUGGAGCCAGCC
Molecule: ribosomal RNA, 1398 nt
Filed under: Enterococcus lactis
Lineage: Bacteria; Bacillati; Bacillota; Bacilli; Lactobacillales; Enterococcaceae
Description: bacterial SSU rRNA
Rfam family: Bacterial small subunit ribosomal RNA
Source: RNAcentral